GCCUGGGUGGCUCAGUUGGUUGAGCGUACGACUUUGGCUCGUGGUUCGUGGGUUCGAGCCCCACAUCGGGCU
Prionailurus viverrinus (fishing cat) is the source of this 72-nucleotide non-coding RNA. Lineage: Eukaryota; Metazoa; Chordata; Mammalia; Carnivora; Felidae. The record is from the annotation of a RefSeq genome assembly.